UCGGCGCAAUUUUUGAAAUUGUUUUUGAAACAUGAUAUUCAAAGCUUAAAGAUGGCGACAAGAAAAAUAACAUUAUAUGAUUCUGAAAGAGAAAUUGUAGUAGAAGCUAUCGUUUCUGAAGCUGAAGCUGCUCGUGCAGGAAGAGGUAAAUAUAAUUAUGCAAUAUAAGUUUAAUACAAUUGAUUUUAGUUUAUAUUCAACAGCUAUUUAUACAUUUUUUCUGAAUAAUGGAUAGCAUAACCUAACUCAAUAAGUAAACGAUAUUUAUUAUCAUUAAUAAUAUAGAUAUAUUUGGUAAAUUUAUUUUAUUUGUAGAUGUAUUUUUUGCAACUGAGCUGUUAAGAAAAAUUAUUAAUCAUUCUGAAGCUCCGCAUCUGUUGAAGUUGAUCAAGAAUCUAGUGAAUUAUACGAUGAAGAGACUUCAGAGAGUUUUAUUGGAGAAGAACGACUUGAUAGUGAUAAUCCAACCGAUCUCAACUCUGAAACUCCAGAAUUUGAAGGUUUAAUGAACAUCUGAAUUCUAAUAUCAUUUUAUUUCAUUAGCACAGGAGAAACUUCAGUAUACAGGUGGAACUCACCCUGCGUAUUAUUAUUAUUGGAAUUAUAUAGGUCUAUGGAAGGAACUCUGAACAGUGGAAAAAUUUCUCAAAAACAAGUAUGGAAUAAAAUAUCCCAAGAUAUGAAAAAAAAGGAUACAUGUGACGGGACCGCAAUGUCAUUCUAAAAUACGAAGCCUAAAAAAAACAUAUAAGGAUCAUAACAAUAAGUCAGGAAAUAAUAGAAAGACAUGGCAGUUUUACGAUAUUAUGGAUGAAAUUUUUGGCAAAAAAGCAUGGCGCAAUCCAGUUGCAGUUGCAUCUUCUACUGGUAUGUCGUUGAAAGAAGCAGAAAAUAAUGAUAGUACAGCGGAUCUGAUAGCGGAUGUUCACUAAGUAGGUUGAUUAUGUGAGGUAAUUUUAAUUGUAACUAAUUUACAAAUUCAAUUUCAUUCUAGAAACAAGUAAGGCGUCGAUAGCAUCUUUACUGGGAAAAAGAUUGCAUCAAAAAGAGGAACAUGAAGAAAAUAAAAA
Molecule: long non-coding RNA, 1070 nt
Organism: Pieris napi
Lineage: Eukaryota; Metazoa; Arthropoda; Insecta; Lepidoptera; Pieridae
Exons: 2
Source: RefSeq, a predicted model, not a curated record